ACACACUUUUCUAAAGGGUGGUCC
This 24-nucleotide non-coding RNA is filed under the name Arabidopsis thaliana (thale cress). The record is from RNAcentral. Lineage: Eukaryota; Viridiplantae; Streptophyta; Magnoliopsida; Brassicales; Brassicaceae.